Molecule: long non-coding RNA, 680 nt
Filed under: Elaeis guineensis (African oil palm)
Lineage: Eukaryota; Viridiplantae; Streptophyta; Magnoliopsida; Arecales; Arecaceae
Description: long non-coding RNA (EGUI_LNC030996)
Source: RNAcentral
GAUCUAUGGACUGGAAUUGUAGCCUAAUGCAAAUUUUCUUGGAGGAAAUGUUGUUAUUCCUCAAACCUGAGGAUAUAAUGUGCAACAUGGGAAAUGAACGAACGUUCUUCUUAGAGUAAAUCUUUGGAGUCUCUUGACUAGAAGUUUGAUGGUUGCAGUCUAUUAGGCUCUCAGAUGAGAGGGUUAAUUAGAUUAUUAUCUUCGGAAAGAGAGGGUUAAUUAGAUUAUUGUCUUCAGAAAGAACUUCAGAUGAGAGGGUUAAUUGAAAAGAAGUAUAUGUUUUAUUCUUCCCAACAAUGUAAUGGACGUUGUCUUUAAUUCCUGAGGGAAGAGUCUGGACCUAGAAGUCACAUUUUCAGUCUUGUCCUGUCCACCAAGGCCCUUAAAGAGCUUAGUUUUAGAGAGAGUUGUUGGUCAGAAAACAACCUUGUAUGAGCUUUUGGCUUGUGAUUGUUACAAAAGGUACAUCCUCCAAAAUGACAUUUGUCUGUGUAUUUGUAUCAUAUGAAAAAGGGACACAGAACUGGCUAGCCUCCUUUUAGUUAUCAGCUCAAUAUAUGAGUUUGCUACAGUCUGAGUAAUAAAUGCAUAUUGGAUGUUUUUGAAUAAAAUUUCAAGGAAUAUCCAUUUGGAUGUCAUUAAGUUGCAGUUUUAGAUGUUGGACUGUUGUAAAAUUUGGG